This is a non-coding RNA of Nothobranchius furzeri (turquoise killifish), 9697 nucleotides long. The record is from RefSeq and is a predicted model, not a curated record. NCBI's taxonomy places the organism in Eukaryota, Metazoa, Chordata, Actinopteri, Cyprinodontiformes, Nothobranchiidae.
CAUCCACUGGACACUCUGGGGCUUUUCUGAGCUUCAAGGCCCCACACAUCCCAGAUUCAGUCGUGGACGGCAACCCUUCAGAUUCACAAUGCAGAAAAACGAACUUUUUGGUGCAUAUGUUUAACAAGUAGUGCAAAAAUAUUUUGCCACUUUCAAAAGUAUUCAUUUUGCCUGUGAUUGCUAUGUCUGAAAUUGUGCAGAUCAAAAGAACAUAAUGGUUAUUUCAAAACUGUUUAUUCGGAAUUCAUAAGACUUGAAUAAAUACAAAGAUGUUGACUCAACCCUAGUUUUUAUUCUGUUUCUGCAAAUAAUUACCCUCUUACAGAAGCAUGAGCAACAAAUAUAAGCACAGCACAAAGAAGGAAUCGGUUAACUUUAGUAACCAUGAUUAAUAUUUAAAUAAUAAAUUCAUAAAAAGGAUUGGAAGACACACGUUUCUGGGUGAUUUGCACGUAGUACAAUUUUCAUUUUAAACAACACACAACCCAAAAUAUUUUUGACACUAUUAAAUAUAUUUUAAUAUCUUCAUUGUUGGUUUAUAAUAAUGCGAUAUGGACUUCCUCACCUUCUUGAAGACGUAUAAUUUCUUAUCUAAGAACCUUUUCCAGUUCUUACAGAAAAAAGUUAAUGAAGUGGAAGCUUCAUUAAUGCAAGCUAAGCUACUAAUAAGUCCUGAAACCCGCCCCGAUGACCAAGAACCUUCACCUUUAUAUCUUUAUCUAAAAAUACAUUUCAAUAGACUAUGUUGAAGAAGACAAUCCUCCAGUUGAAGCAUAACAUAAACAUUAUAAAUAAUCCUAAUGUAGAAGCGAUUUAUUCAUGCAUGUUUGUCACUGAGCUGCAUUUUUAUGUCAAGACAACCUCUUCAGCGUUUUCACCCUGCAGGUUUAUUAUUGUUUACACUAUUUUUCUUUUCUUCCUUCUUUCCCCAUUACACAUAUACCUUCAGUGUCAUGUUCUGUGUCCCUUUGUUCCCCAGCCCUCCAGUUCCCACUCCAGGUUCUCCUUUUGUGUUUCAUGGCGCCCUCAUGUGUCCUUUGUCUGCGUCUUUCCCCAUGUGUCUCCUAAUGUUUCUCCAUCCCUCUCUGGAUUCCCUUUUGUGUUCUCUUAGCGCCCUCAUGUGUCCUUUGUCUGCAUCUCUGUUGUGUGUCUUAAGUUAUAGCCACAGCCUCUUGUUCCCCAGUUCAUAGUUUGUGUGUCUCAGUAUGUGUAUGUGUUUGUGUGAGUUCUUCCCUUAGUCUUUAGGUUUAGUUUUGUGUUUUACAUAGUGUUAGGUUUAUCUGCCCUCCACUGGUUCUCUUCCCCAUCCAGAUAAUUGUUGUCACCUGCCUUCCCUCCAGCCUCACUCCACACACCUGCUUCCUGUUUCCCUAAUUGCUCCUCCCUGUUUAUAUAAGCCCUACUUGUCUCUGUGUUCUUGUCGGUCCAUUAAUGUUUGCUUGUUGUUCUUGUCAGCCUCGUCUCGUUCCUGUUCCUAGCUUCUAGUGAUUCCAGUGUUUUCCAGUGUUCCUAGUUCUCUGAAGUUUUUUGAUUACUCAGUUCAGAUUUUUUGGAUUUUUUGGUUUGGGCUCCCUGCUUCUUGGACUACUCCUAAUAAAGGAUUUUAUUUUCAUCAUCCACCUCCUGCCUCGUUCAUCUGGGUUCUGCAUCUUGGGUCCAAACCUCCUGCUCCUUAAUCGUGACAUUCAGUGCUUUAUAGCCUAGUUUAUGCUUCUGCGUCAGCUCCACGAGGGAGAGAUACACACACAUUGACUGAGACAUUUAGCCUUUGGACUUCUCGGUCACCUGAGGAGUGUUGAAAAGCAAUUCUCCACCAGGACAACAGAGGGCGUAGUGCUUUUCUAGGGUAUCAUGUAGAGCAUAACUAUUGUUUAUAUUAUGUUUUUGUAUUUCAGAGACUUUUUAACAGACAAAUUUGUCCCUCAUUCUCCUUCACCUCUUCAUGUGCUCUUUAGAGCUACCUCUAAACCCAUGUUUCUCCUCAUUUCCAUCCAUCCAUCCAUCCAUCCAUCCAUCCAUCCAUCCUCUUCCACUUAUCUGGAGUGGUUCAACAGCUUAAGUUGAGAAGACCAGACUUCCCUCUCCCCAGCCUUUUGGGCCAGCUCUUCCUGGCCAGGCGAGAGACAGUCGUGUCGUGGGUCUCCCUUUAGGUGAGACCCAGGACGUCAUUCACAUCCAUGAAUAAAAUGCUUGCUGCGUAUCUCUAUACUCCUCCAGCCACAGGUGACUAAAAAGUUAAUAUUUUGAAUUUUUCCAUGAGGUAUUUUUCAAUCUGCUCUGUAUAUGCCGCUAGAAAUCUUUUGCUCUCUUAAUUUACUUUGAGGGGCAAUGGCGGUGCUGUAGACAAAUUUAAAGGAAGCAGCAUCCAGGCCAAACACUGUCUCGUUCAUUGCAUGUUGAGAAAAGUGGGUUAGACUUUGUCAUUGGAGCCUGCUGGAGUGCCCUCGCGAUGACGAAUAUUGGUGUUACGAGUCUCCGCGUCGGCACAGAAGCAUAAAUUAGGCUUUACUCUUUGACUGCUGGAGACAGAUUGUUGCUCUUCCUGAAUAAAAUAUUUUAUAGGUUCCUUUGCAAAAAAAUGUGUUGAAGGGGUUGACUUCAACGCACAAUGUGUAAAAACAUGUGAGUUUUUAGAGCCAUGCAGUUCAAAGUAGGUACUGCAUCCUAUGGUAGUCCACAUGCAUCAAGAGGGCAGUAUCCUUGUGACGGAGUGCACACAGCUGCAGGAAAAAGCUACAGUUACUUCGGGGUUUUGCACACAGAAAACAGCACGCACCAGCUCUCAAACGUCUGUACGUUUUACUUACUUCUCACUCCAGUGCUGCCACUUCUGCCACGUCACUUGUCUCCCUUUCCUCCGCAACCGUGCACACACCACCACAGUUUUAAACGACUUCCAGCUUUCAGUUCAGCGAUCACAUGCAGUUGGAGCAGGGCAAGCAACCAAAGGGCAGAGAGCAGAAUUUCCCCAAACCAGCAAGACUGCUACAGCAAGAGCUGGCAUUAUCUCCCAUGCAAUGUUUGAAGGGAGGAGAACUUCCAUGAUGAAACGUGGAGCAUUAUAUCUUAUAUGCCCUUAACCAGCUACGAUAUUUCAGGAUGGUGCAUGACCAUGGAGCGUCGACCACCAUUUAUUUAUGUAAAUAUGUACGAUUUUAAGCCAAUAGGAACUUUUAGAAUGGACAUUGUUUGAAAAAGAACACAUUUGAGAAGGAGAUACACAGAAUUGUAUAGUAAAUAAGUUAAAAUAGUACACACUGUGAUUUUUAGAGACCAAGUUCACUCAUUCUUUCAACACAUUUGCAGCCAAAGUUAAACAUAAUUUUCAUUAAAGAAUAUUAUGUGAGAUAGGUCUGAUUUUUUUAUUCAAAAAGUCUUCAUUAAUUUUUUUUGCUUAAUAGUUCAAUGUAGAUGAAAAUGUUCUAACAGCCAGUUAAAGGGUUAAAUGAUAAAUUACCUGCACUUGUAUAGUGCCUUUCUGAGUUGGAGGACUUCAAAGCAUGCACCCUGCUCUACAGUCAGUCACAGAUUGAAGCUGGGUUUGAACUGGCAACCCAUCAGUCGCAGGACAAACUCUUUACCCAUGAACCACCAUCGCCCAAUACAAUCCACAGCUUUUGAACAAUUUACACAUUUUAUUUUAUAAAGACAAAGAGCCGUUACUGAACUGUUUCAAAUACCUAUAGAAUUUUGGUUUUUUGGUUUAGCUGAAUUUCACUAAAUCAAAUCCUGGAUUAUUAUAGACUCAAAUUAUUAAAAAAUAAACUGGACAAGACAUUAUUUAGAAGGAUAUAAAGUGAUCUUCUUUUAUAUAUAUAUAAUUUUUAAGAGCAUUCCAAUUUUGUGUCCAGUGAACUGCUGAUAUGAAAACUAAAGUAAUUUGAUUUCAUGUGUAUUUUAGAUUAAAUGUUCCCAUAAAUGCAAUGAAAUCUCUUUUAUAUCUUUAUGCUAUACCAGCUAUUUCAUUAAAUUUAUCCUUUUAGAACCAUUGCACAGCAACUCAGAUUAAAUUCUUUACUGAUCUAAUUUAUUUUCAUAAUUUUCUCAUAAGAUAAUAACUUUAUUGAAUACUUUCCACAAGUGAAUAAAUUUGUAAAUUUGAUUAACUCCAUCUUGAGAAAGAGAUAAGACAAAAAACAGACAAGAACAAAUUGCUAAUCAUUAUUCUACGUGACAAAUUAUUUUUUUUAAUUAUCUAAGUGACAGUAUGGUUGUUAAACAAUUUUGAAGUUAGUCUGCCAGAAAAACAAGUUCUAUGAACUGUUUUUAUUUAUUUAUUUUAGAAUUAAAACUAAAAUCUAUUUGAUGUAUUGGAUUAUAAUUUUAGAGAACAUGCUUGCAUGAUUAACUCUGAACUAUUUAUUCCAACCAGCAUGAGGGAGACAGUAAGGCAGAGCCAGCCGCUUUUCUAAUUGGUGCAUUUAUGUGGCUGACACUUCAAGUCGAAUGUCUUCAAUCACUUUCAGAUGGAGAAUCCAAUUCAUGUACAGUAUGUGCUCUGCACAUGCUAGCUAUUAACUUCCUCCGCUUGCCUAAUUACAGUCAUUCAUCCUUUAUCAAUGAGAAGUUGUGGAAAGCAGCUGCUAUCAGGUGGCUGUGUUCUCGUGUGCAUGCAAAAACACACACCUGUGUGAUGCUUUUACUUUUUGUGUGUGUGUUUCAUUUUAGUGAUCUGGUUCUGUGUUUCCAGUGCUCUCUGCCAGAUCACACUGCGUAGCACACCGAGUCUGUGUGCGUGGGUGAUGUGAUGUGCUGGAAUCUUUAUGAGGCUGCGCCUCUGACACUGAGUCGUACUUCACUUCUCUCCUCUGCUCUGCUUGGGCCUUCUCGAUGCAUCUCCAUUCCCCGCUCUCCAUUAUCUGUAAAGCAAUUGCACCACAGCACCGUGCCGCCUCCUACCAACCCGGCUUCACCCUUGACGAGUGCCUAAUUGGAUGUCAUCACUGGGAAUGAAAGACAGACUUGAACUGCUCCUGUUCAGCCCUGCAUUGAGAGCCAUCCAUCAGAUUUCAGCUGAUGGUCCACCGCUGGCUGCUCCUGUCACCGCCGCUCAGACGGGGCGACGCUCACACAACCGCCACGAGAAAGACUGCUGUGCGAUGAAAAGGGCACAUCGACUCAUAAUUGGAACUUCGCCCAUACUGAGCUUGAGACUAAUUAGCUGUGUAUCCAGAAGUGUGACUUCCAUACUAAUAGGAGAUAUUUUGUUUUGCAGCUGUUAAGCCGUCUGCAGGUUCACUCUUAGGUCAUGUUAGUUUCUUCCCUGAGCAACUCCAGCAAAAGGAGAGUGUCCAACCCCUCUCAAGGACUUGGGUUCCAGAGCCAAUGCUAUGUGUCGAGGUGAGUCCGACUAUAUCUAGCCGGUACCGCUCAACUUCUGCCACAAGCUCCUGCUCCUUCCCCGCCAGCGAGGUGACGUUCCAUGUCCCAAAAACCAGCUUUCUUGUCCGGGGAUUGGACCGCCAAGGCUCCCGCCUUGGUAUGCCACCCGAUCCACAUUGCACCGGACCCUUCAUGUUCCUCCUGUGGGUGGUGGGGCCACAAUUGGAUGAACCCAUGUAUCAGGUUCGGGCUGGGCCCGGACGGGCACCACGGGCGAAAGCCGGCCACCAGGCGCUCGCUCACGGGCCCCAACCCCAGGCCUGGCUCCAGGGUGGGACCCCGGUAACCCUGUGGGCCGGGUACUCUGACUCUUUGAAUUUACCUCCAUGAAAGAUCCUGUGAACCGUUCUUUGUCUCACCCUUCACCUAAGACCAGUUUGUCAUGGGAGACCCUACCAGGGGGACAAAGUGCCCCAGACAACAUAGCUCCUAGGAUCAUUAGGGCACUCAAACUCCUCCACCACGAUAAGGUGACGGUUCAAGGAGGAGAACACACAAAACCUAAAACUGCAAACCUUCACGCUGUCAAACGGGGAGCAAAACUAAAGGAAACAUGCUGAAAAAAGAAAAAAUACUAAACAUUUUUAAAGUUUUGGGACAUGAAUGUUAAUUUAGUCAUUUCAUUCAGCAGUUCUUGCAAGACAUAGACUAAUUUUAUCAGAAAAUGUGUAAAACUAGUGUCUAUUGUUUUAUCUGCUAGAAAACAAGAGGCUGGAUUAAUACAUGCUUAAAAUUUUGUUUGACUCAUAAACCUAAAGAGUAUUCUUGGUCAAAUCUGGCACAAAUGUUCUCAUUUUCAGGAAUAAAUAAAUAGUGGUCCAUGAGAGCCACUUUUCUGCAAGUUUUAGAUGUUUCCCUGCUCCUACACACUGAUUGAAAUUGCCUUCUCAUCAUAUCAAAUUCUGCAGAAGCAUUUUUAAUUGCUCAUUUAUUUAAAUCAGAUAUGUUGAAGCUGAGAAAAAUCAAAUAAUUGUAACGUACAGGUGAACCUUAAAAUUUUUGAAUAUUGUCCCAAUGGUAAUUUAUUUCAGUAACUCACCUUCAAAGGUGAAACUAACUUAACAGACUCAUUCCAUGCAAAGCCAGAUAUUUCAUGCCUUUAUUUGUUAUAACUGUGAUGAUUGUGGUGUACAGCUAAUGGAAACCCCACAUUCAGAAUAUCAGAUCAUUAGAAUAUUGUGAAAAGGUUCAAUAUUCUAGACUCAAAGUGUCACACUGUAAUAAGCUAAUGAAUCCAGAACAUCUGCAAAGGGUUCCUGAGUCUUUAGAUGGUCUCUCAGUCUAAACUGAAUAACUGAAAUAAAUAAACUUUUGCACUAAAAAUAAUCAAAUGUCAGAUUUAUUAGUUAGUUUUAGGAAAUCUAUUUGAUCAACUUCUGCUUACCCCACUGGCAGAUUUAUUCACUCAAAACAAGAAAAUUUAGAUCAUAUUUAAGAAUGAUGACUUUAUUUUAGGUAGUGCUGUUUGUCUAGAUACUUUUUUUUCUUUUUAGACUAAAGACUUGAUAGGCUUGUAAAAUAAGGUGGAACUAUUAGGCACAGUCCAUAGUUGAUUCAAAUCAUAUCUCCAAGUCAGGGGUUAUAUUGUUUCUAUUGGUGGUCACAAAGCAGAGCAGAUCACCAUGACCUGUGGGAUCCCCCAAGGUUCAAUUCUUGGACCACUGCUCAUCAGUCUCUAUAUGCUCUCCUGGGUCAGGUCAUACACAAUAACAACAUUACCUUUCAUAGUUACCCAGAUACCCAGGUGAUAUACCUCUAUCACCUAGUGAUUGUGGUCCCCUAGACUCACUCUGUCAGUGUUUGGAGCAAGUUAAUGACUGGAUGUAGUCAAAUUUCCUCCAGUUAUAUAAAGGCAAAACUGAGUUGUUGUCUUUGGAAAUAAGAAGGAUAGGAUGGAGGCUAUUGCUCAACGUGGUUCCAGAAAAAUAAAGACAAAGACCCAGGUUAGAAAUCUUGGUUUCAAAUUCGAUUCAGACCUGAGCUUCACUGGUCACAUUAGGGCUAGUUCAGCUUUUUAUCAUCUUCAUCAAAUAGCAAGACUCAGAGGUCUCAUGUCCAGAGGGGGCAGGUGUGGACCAAAAGAAAAGUUGUAUUUCCUACAAUAUGUCACAGUACAUGGUUAGACAAUCACUUUUUUAGAUUUCUGAAAAUUCAUACAUAGCUGAAUAGCAGUUUUAUGAUCACCUAUCUGUACCACCUGGUAGCUGACUUUCAUCACCUCUCCACCUGCUUCCAUUAGCCACUGAAGCAGCCGACUACUACAUUAGCCAUCUGAGCAGCCUCCUGCACCACUAAGCCCAAAAAUGUAAUGUCCUCUCACUCAGCCCUUUGGUUCACAGAUGACCUAAGGAGGUUGGAGUCUGCUGAACGACUUUGCAAGCUAUCCGCUCUCACUGUCCACAAGUAAGCCUACCAGGAGCACCAAAAUAAAUAUUCAAUUUCUGUCAAAGAGGCAAGAGCUCAGUUGUACUCAAAUGCCAUCAUAAAUAAUCCAGGAAAUUCCAAACAGCUUUUUUCAACUAUUAACCACCUAUUCGAUCUACACUCUCCUUCUCCUUCAUCUUCUUCUGGUUUCUGUGGUUCUCCCAGCAACAAAUCCAAAAAAUACCUGCAAAGACGUGCUUCUGCACACUCACUGCUCAUCCUUUAUGCACAACUGCAAGUACAGCAACCUCAAGGGAGCAUCACUCAGACUACUGAAGAGCAUCAGGAGGUGAUUACUGUGAUCCUGCCAUACGCUCCUUGUUCUCCGGUAAUGGAUUGGGCCACAGCCAUGCCUGUUGAGCUGAUGUUUUUAGAGUUUUAAUGGAGUGGUAAGUUGCAGUUAACAGUUCUACUGUUCUAUUUUUAGGAUUUGCACUCCCACAUGUUUUAACCACCAGUGGUCUCGAUCAGGAGAUCUAGCGAUCUCUUUUUUUGGAUUUCUCUUUCUGUCCAGUUCUUGCAGCCAGCCUUCACAGCACAUUGCACUUGAAAAAUGAAGAAAGUGGAGAACAGAAAAGGGAAGUGCUGGGACUGUUUCUGCAAGCUCCACCGCCGGUCUAUUUUUAGUUGAUCUCUUAUCGAUAAUACGAUGCUCCCUAAGGUUUCAUAAGCAACUGAGAUUCCUUUGUCUUGUUUAACUUUACCACCUUUCUGUCCGUCUCUUUCCUUUCCCUGCUCCAUAUUCCCCUCUCUACUCGUGUAGCCAAUACAAUAUUGAUGAGGCGGAUCGAUCAAAAGAGCAGCACCCUUACCCUCCAGCUGCUGUCGGUCAUCCAAUAUUCUGAUACAAGCAAUAAAUUGCUGCAGGUAAGGAUUUCCUCCACUUUUAGAUCCGUGUCCUAAGAAUAAAUUGUUCUGAUUGUUGAGACUUUAAUUGCUUUAAAUAUUUGAAGGUUAUGUUUGUUUUUACAUUCUCUGGCAUGAAGUCAUGUUCCUUUCUAAGUUGCACCCUCUUAGUUCCAUUUGCUGUUAUGAGUUGGAGUUUAAAUUUGUUUCUGGGGUCUCCAGAGACUUCACCACAGUAAGGAGCCUUGACUGCAGCAGCUAUAGAGCCUCAGUCAUCAUCAUAGAGGAUUAUGUUACUGUUGGUCUGGUACAGAGCAAUAUCAAUAACAAUCUUUGCACUACAUCUGUCUCAUGUGAAGUUUAACUCGAUACAAGGUGCUCUGAUGAUUGCCUUUCCCCUCUGAGACUCCAAACCGAGUUACAUUUUCAUCUUCGGCUGAGUUUUAGUACUGAAACUCUGAGUAUCUUAAUUAAAUGAGGUGAUCUGCCAAACAAAGCUGACACAGUGAAACAGAUUGGGUGGAGAGGUAAUUGUGGGAAAUUAAACUUGUAUUUUGUGGGCUGUACUGUUGUCAAAAAGAAGAAACAUUGAAUUGUUUUUGAAAGAGAUCAAGAUUCAAACAGUUAUUUUUGCAGUCAUAUAAUUAAAUUUGAACUUGAAUAUGUUGUUGUUGUUUUGCAGCUGUAAAACAUCAUUUGUGUCUAAUUUUCAAAGUAUGCAUGAAGUAAUCUUUCCCUCAAGGUUUUGUUUUUUACUUGCUUGCUAAUGAGCUGUUAAGAUCAUUAUUUGUGGUUUUCUUUCUUUCAUAAUUUCAUCACGACAGUUAGAACAUGUUGAAGUUAAAAAUUAAAAUGUUGUGUUUAUUAAUGUUUUAGUCAAUGUCCAACUAUAUCAGAGGAAUUCUGCUUGGAGUCAGCAUGUCACCCGAUGUUUUAUUUAAACAUUCUUGUGUUUCACAAAUAUGUGUUAAUGCUCCAGAUUAUUGUUUUUUUUUUCUUUUUAUUACUAAGAAACAUAAGACGGAACACGGUAAACUCAAAAGAA